CCUACGGGUGACAGCAGUGGGGAAUAUUGCACAAUGGGGGAAACCCUGAUGCAGCGACGCCGCGUGAGUGAAGAAGGACUUCGGGAUGUAAAGCUCUAUCAGCAGGGAAGAAAAUGACGGUACCUGAGUAAGAAGGCCCGGCUAACUACGUGCCAGCAGCCGCGGUAAUACGUAGGGGGCAAGCGUUAGCCGGAUUUACUGGGUGUAAAGGGAGCGUAGACGGCCAGACAAGUCAGAAGGGCAAGCCCAGGGCUCCACCCUGGGACUGCUUUUGAAACUGCCGGGCUGGAGUGCAGGAGAGGUAAGCGGCAUUCCUAGUGUAGCCGUGCAAUCCGUCGAUAUUAGCAGGAACACCAGUGGCGUAGGCGGCUUACUGGACUGUACCUGCCGUUGAGGCUCGAAAGCGUGGGGAGCAAACAGGAUUAGAUACCCCAGUAGUC
RNAcentral lists this ribosomal RNA (440 nucleotides) under uncultured bacterium. Its description in RNAcentral is "partial 16S ribosomal RNA". It matches the Rfam family "Bacterial small subunit ribosomal RNA", at positions 338 to 795 of the family's 1533-position model. The record is from RNAcentral.